UGUGAUGCCCUUAGAUGUUCU
RNAcentral lists this non-coding RNA (21 nucleotides) under Arabidopsis thaliana (thale cress). Lineage: Eukaryota; Viridiplantae; Streptophyta; Magnoliopsida; Brassicales; Brassicaceae. The record is from RNAcentral.